This 351-nucleotide ribosomal RNA is filed under the name Runaria reducta. Its description in RNAcentral is "partial 16S ribosomal RNA". The record is from RNAcentral. Lineage: Eukaryota; Metazoa; Arthropoda; Insecta; Hymenoptera; Blasticotomidae.
AUAAUCAUUAGUCUUUUAAUUGAAGACUUGUAUGAAGGAUUGAAUGAAAUAUAUACUGUCUCAUUAAAAUUUAAAAUUGAAUUUAAUUUUUGAGUUAAAAAGCUUAAAUAUUAUUAGAGGACGAGAAGACCCUAUAGAGUUUUAUAUUUAUUAAAAUAUUAAUUAAAUGUAUAAAUUAAUAUUGAUGAUAUUUAUUUUGUUGGGGUGAUGGGAAAAUUUGUUAAACUUUUUUAUGUAUUUAUACAUUAAUAUAUGAUUUUAUUGAUCCUUAAUUAAAGAUUAAUAGAUUAAAUUACCUUAGGGAUAACAGCGUAAUUUUUUUUUAAAGUUCAUAUUUGAAGAAAAGAUUGC